UACGUAGGGGGCAAGCGUUGUCCGGAUUUAUUGGGCGUAAAGAGCGUGUAGGCGGUCUGGUAGGUCCGUUGUGAAAACUCGAGGCUCAACCUCGAGACGCCGAUGGAAACCAUCAGACUAGAGUCCGGAAGAGGAGAGUGGAAUUCCGUGGUGUAGCGGUGAAAUGCGCAGAUAUCAGGAAGAACACCCGUGGCUAAGGCGGCUCUCUAGUACGGUACUGACGCUGAGACGCGAAAGCGUGGGGAGCGAACAGG
This 254-nucleotide ribosomal RNA is filed under the name uncultured bacterium. Its description in RNAcentral is "partial 16S ribosomal RNA". It matches the Rfam family "Bacterial small subunit ribosomal RNA", at positions 524 to 776 of the family's 1533-position model. The record is from RNAcentral.